Macrostomum lignano is the source of this 70-nucleotide non-coding RNA. NCBI's taxonomy places the organism in Eukaryota, Metazoa, Platyhelminthes, Macrostomidae. The record is from Rfam.
GGAGUUGUGGCCUAGUGGUCAGAGCGUUGGACUCACGACUUGAAGGUCGGGGGUUCGAUUCCCGAUUCCA